Molecule: ribosomal RNA, 468 nt
Filed under: uncultured bacterium
Lineage: Bacteria
Description: partial 16S ribosomal RNA
Rfam family: Bacterial small subunit ribosomal RNA
Source: RNAcentral
GACGAACGCUGGCGGCGUGCUUAACACAUGCAAGUCGAACGGAAAGGCCCUGCUUUUGUGGGGUGCUCGAGUGGCGAACGGGUGAGUAACACGUGAGUAACCUGCCCUUGACUUUGGGAUAACUUCAGGAAACUGGGGCUAAUACCGGAUAGGAGCUCCUGCUGCAUGGUGGGGGUUGGAAAGUUUCGGCGGUUGGGGAUGGACUCGCGGCUUAUCAGCUUGUUGGUGGGGUAGUGGCUUACCAAGGCUUUGACGGGUAGCCGGCCUGAGAGGGUGACCGGCCACAAUGGGACUGAGAUACGGCCCAGACUCCUUCGGGAGGCAGCAGUGGGGAGUAUUGCACAAUGGGCGGAAGCCUGAGGCAGCAACGCCGCGUGCGGGAUGACGGCCUUUGGGUUGUAAACCGCUUUCGCCUGUGACGAAGAGUUAGUGACGGUAAUGGGUAAAGAAGCACCGGCUAACUACGUG